CACUUUCCAUAGAGUGUCGUUUCGCCUCAUCCCCCUCUCCCCCUCCCGCUCCGGCGCACGCCCUCUCCUCCCCCUUGCAACUUUUCCAUUCCCCCUCCCUCGCCCACAAGAACGAGGAAGAAGCUCUCGCAUCAGGCACACUCCUUCUGCCGCGUCUCACUCUUCUUCGCUAUCUCUUUGAGUGUUGUGUUGUGUCUUUUCGUUCUCCCUCUCUCGUUGCCGGCUAGCUGGGGGAGGGCAGCAGCGCGCGACACGUAGUGUAGUUCCUGAGAGAAGGGAAAAUCACCGACGACAAAAAGGAAAGUUGUAGGACAAGCGCCCGUGACGUAGCCGUCGCUCGCGCAGCUUAUUUGUCUGCUCUUCCUUGUUGUUCUAGGGCCCUGUUCAUAUUUUUUCUAUUUUGUUUGUGUUUUCCUACCGGCGAGUUGCUUCAAGUGUUUGCAUCAACCCCGCCUUUCUGAAUCUGCUUCUCGCCGAGAGUGCGUGUGCCACGCACUUCUUGUUGGUGUUGACGCUGUUCUCUCGCUCUCCGAUUCUAGAGCGUCUUUCAAGACAAUAUUGCCGUGCAGGGAAACGAAAAAGAACGGCACAGCGCAGGGCCGGCGUUCACGGCGGACGCACGUACACAUCCGCUGCAGGCGCCUCGUUUUUUUUUCUCACGGUGCAUCUCGGUGUCCCUCACCCCUUUCUUUUUUCCACUUCUUUCUGUAUGCGCUACCCUUCUUCCAGCCCGCCGCUCAGCUGCCAAGCAACUCUCUCUCUCUCUAUCUCCCUCUCCAUUUGUCAUAAAGCCUGCGUAGAAGCCCCUCCCUCGCCUCUUUCACUCACACGCACAUAAACACACGCAGAGACAGCGGGGCCCACGGCCAGUGAGCUCAGGGAGCCGACGUGACGCCUUUGUCUGCUCUUGAAACGCGUGCCCCGCCGCCGUUCCUCCUCGCAGGAUCUUCUCUUCAUUUUUCUCUCCGUUUCUCAUUCAUCAGCGCUAUCAAGGCAGUCGUCACCGCCUGACCAACAUCGCCGCCACCCUCUUCACCUACUCUGCCCCCCUCUGCGUCCCUAGAGCCUUCGCCUCCUUUUUUGUGUUCUCGUCUUUUCGCCCGUGCUUCGGCUUUGCUUUCGCAUUUGCACACACCACAAUCCCUCGUUCACGUAACCCCUUUCCUUUUUUUUCUUUUUCACACCCCCCUGGGGUGCGUGACACACAAUGGCAUCCCGCAGGAACCGAUCGCCGUCCUCGAAGAACAAGGAGUCGCCGUGCAAAAGCCAGCACUCUCAGUGCCAGCAGCAGGAAAGCCACAGCACUGAACACCAGGGAACCCAAACACGGUCUGACCCUGACAUGAAGGAGGCUGCGCAUCUGCUCCGCACAGGUAGCGGCGUGCACCACUCUGAAAGCGGGGAGCGCAGCCAGUCGCUGACGGAGAGGUACCAGCACCGGGUGGAGCAGGCGUCGUCGGUGUGGCUGAGCGGCAUCCUGAACGGCCACAGCUAUGCGCCGCGACCCAAGAAGGUGGAUGAGGCGGAGCUGAGCGACACCGCCAAGGAGGAGCUGCUGAAGGAGCGAACGUACACGAUUCCUCGUGGAUACAAGUACUACGCAGAUGGCCUGCCACCGGUGCUGAACCCGGUGCCGCAGAACGGCUUCCGAACAGCCCUCAUCAUCCACAUGAUCUUCUUUGGUAUCGCCUUUGUCUUCACGCUGGCGGCUGCCUGCCCCAUCCCGUGGUACCGUGGCAGGAACGUCGAUGUGUGCGGGGUAAACUACAAAGACCGUUUGUUUUCUCUGUGGAUGGCGGAGGGUGGCAAGUACCCGGAUAUUUGGGUGCACGCAAUGAAGCACUGCCCCUUGGAAAAACAGUUCUACCAGACCAUUGCCGUUUCUACCAUUCUGGGCUGCGUGCUCUCCUUCCUCUCACUUCUUGUCUCUGGCGCGCGUCUCUCCGGUCGUGCUUCCUACGGCUGGAUCUUACUCUUCAGUUUCCUUGCCUUCGCCUGGACGCUCUGCGGCAAUGCAAUGUCGAUCAGCAUGUAUUACUCCUCGCGCUGCAAUGCGCCGCGGCUUUCAAACACGGCCCGCCUCGACGCCGGCUUCGCGCUGUCACUGCUGGCGUGGGUCUUCCAGCUGGGCGGCCUCCUAGCCGUUGCUCUAGUAACGAAGCUGAACGUUGGCCCGGUGCUAAAGCAGCUGCGUGUGAUGGACACGUACUACAUGGCGCUGCUGUGCGUGUCGCUCCUGUUCCUGUGCGUGGCAAACGCGGGCACUGUGUGGAAACGCAGGUUCAACACGCGUGACGUGAGCGUGGUGCGUGUGACGUACUGGCACACAGAGCUAAUUAUGCCGAACGGCACCAACCUCUACUAUGGUCUCUGGCACUAUCGCUGCAGUGCCUAUAGCAAGCGCAUGAAGGCGAGUGUCUCGUUUCUCAUCCUAUCCAGUAUCGCGCUAUUUAUGGCGACUAUGCUGGCGAUCCCGGCCUUCCUCGCGCGCGGCUGCCGCAUCGCCUCUAUCGUCUUCUCCGUCAUUACGCUUGUGUUCUUAGUCAUUUCCUGGGUGACUGCCGUCGCUGUGCGGCACCGUAACUCUUGCACCGGGGCCGUUAAUGGCACCAUGUACCAGUACUACCCAGGUGUGCCCUCCGGCAUUUACAACGGACUGACGAACUUUCCGGGCUACGGUGUGCAGGAGGGGCUCGUCUUGUCUAUUGUCGCGUGGGUCAUUGUACUUGGCGCCACGGUCCUCAACCUUCGAGUGUCGUGGUUGUAGAUGAAUGUUGUAGAGCAGCAGUAGGAAGAUGUGAAGAGGGUUCAAAGAGAGCAAACGAAGAAGAGCCGUGACAGAGAACCGACGAGAAGAGGCAAUCGUGACGGAGUCAAGACGUGCCGAUGACGGGAGAAGUGUAGAGGCGGCACUGGUGGAGCAAGCGGAACAGCCAACCAGCUCACACAGACAUGGACGGGGUCCAUAUGUGUGUCUCCGAGGGACGUAGGAUGGCCACCGCGGUUUGUUCGUGGGAUGUAUGGACGAGGUGCAGCUUUCGCGGCAGUCCGCACCUCCGCUCUUCACGGCUCUUUCUCCUCCUCCUUCAGCUCGUUUGCUGCCUUAAAUCAGCAGCAGCACCUCCUCAGCUCAUCCUCGUCUGACCGGCGGUCCAUCACGACCCACUGAUGGUGCUCUGCCGCGUAAGGAAGGACGAGACGCGGCGCACGUACGAAGACGAACAACAAAGAACGACAUCGGCACUUCCGCGCGCGCGUUUGUGGCAUCGAGACGGCUUCGUCUGCAUGGCAGUGGGUUGUUCUAGGGAGCAAGUCGGAGUGGCGGGCGACACUCGCACUCGGUAAACGCGACAGCGCCUUUCAUGCAAUGCUCUUCCCUGUUGCCGCUUCUGUGCGAGGGCGGCGACGGCCCCUCCGUUCGCCGGCAGAAAGACCUGCCGUUUUUUAUUCUUCUCGUGUUUCGGUGAAUAGUGUUGCAUUCGAACUGGUUUGCAGCAUAUGUAGACCGGGGUGCCGCGCAGAGGCAUCUCACCAUCUACUGCGCCGUCGCCCUCGUCAUCCUUCAUUGGUUGGCGUCCAGAAAGGGCCGGGAAGGUGGUGCCUGCUCGCAGAUGCUCUUGCUUCGAUUCGUUGGCCAGCGUCGCACACGGGCCUGCAAACACGCACAGCUACACCUUCACGAUAAAAACAGAAAAAGUAGCAAAGGCUGCUAUCUUCUCCGUGCCGACGCCGUCAUGCAGGCGGUGCAUCAGCGACUGCAUCCUCAUAUCUGUCCCACGCCCCCAGCCCCUCCCCCCGCCCCUCCACGUCUUCUUGGUUUCGAUUCGACCUUCGCAUCAUUCUAGUAUGCGGAGCUGCUCAUGUGCGCUCGCAACACCCGUGGGGAGCUUUUUUUUGGGGGGGGGACUUGUCUACAUCGUAAUGGCGGUUGAUCUUCCGCAGUUGGUGCGUGCGAUCCGAGAUGAACCCUUGCUACCCCGCGCUGCUGAAGUCUUUCUUUUUGUAUUAUGCGUGCCCACCCCGCCCCUCUCCGAUUUCUCGGUCUCCUUCCAGCGUCGAGUAUUUUGGCCCCAUGUGGUCGAGCUUUGUUUUUUUUUUGGCGUAUCUGCGCGCUGCUGACUAUGGCCCCUUUAGCCCCCGCCUCCGUCUCUUCCAUGCCAUGACGUCCUUUUUAGCUUCUUAUGACCCCCCCCGUUCUGCUCGUCGCCGUCUAAUUUCAGGUGCCUGAGUCCAUCUCCUGCUUGAUUCACCUCUCACUUCUACACCCCAAACCUCCCUUCCUGUAUGCGCCCUCCGCCCUCCCCCCACUGCCACCACCACUGUCCUCAUCCUUUCGACGCGAUCCUGAAGUGUCCCUGAUAGCAUUAUUGCUCUUUUUCUAUGAUUACUACUACUAUUGUGUUGGCUUGCUUUGUUUGCUCACGUCGUCCUCAUGCAGGUGCGAGGUCCUUCCCUCCUCCUUCUUUCCUCCGUUUCGUUGUGUUUUGGCUUGCUUCUCCCUCCCCCACUCGUGUUCGCCUCUGUUUUCUGUCUUGUUUUGGUCGCGUGUUCUUUCUGUGUUGCUGCGGUUGUCGUUGCUGUUUUUUUUUUUUAUUGUCCAUCCUGUUUUGACCAUCAUCUAUAAGUGUGUAUGUAUGCGUGUGUGCGCGCGCGAUUUCGUAUCAAUUACGCCUUCUCGUUUGCGGAGACUGUGUCUUUCCUUUUUGUCGAACUUUUCCCUGUUGUAACUCAUCCGACCUUCGCCGUCUUCAUUGUUGUUGCUGCUAGAUAUGCACCUGGUGCUGAUCUUCGCUGUGUGGUCGUGGUGGUUUUGUUGUUUGCUCAGGCGCGUUGCUCGGCAGCCUCAGCGUUCCGGUUUCUUGCGAUGAGGUGAUGGCGCGCAACUCCUUGACACCACCAUUCUCUGUGAAAGGUGGGGUAUGGAUAUGGCGUAUGCUCACUGCUUUCUCUUUUUGAUCUUCUCUAAACCGUCACGUCCUCAUUAGAUUUUGUCCUUACGAUUAUAAUCGAAGCCUGCGCGGCAUUUUUCUCAAUCUCUCCAUGAAAUAUCACCAUCACUGGACGUGCGUACACACAGGCCAACGAUACGCUUAUAGAGACACUUGCCGCCACAGACUUGAACCGCGGUGCCUCUGCGUGUGCGUAUGCGUGUGUAUGCGGCUUUUUUUUUGCUUGAAAAUCCACGUGCGCACGAACUCCAACGAAAAUUAACCGGAAAAACACAAAGUAGAGAGCAAGACGAAGAUACGGCCGAGUAGAAGAGCCACUGAUCGUUUUUGCCUGUUAGCUUGUCUGUUUUGCCACGCUCUCCUCUGCCCCCCUCCUCCCCUACCUCCGUUGUCAUGCGCACGUACACACGCGUAGACAAAUCGACACACACGCGCCUCUUUUCAUUUUUCUCUUUCGCUUCCUUUCCACUUCACUCCGCCCCCUCCCUCCCUUUUUUUUUAACUUUUUAUUUGGACGCCCCUGUGUACUGGCUGGAUGUCUGCAUCGUGGCCAUCAUCGUUCUGUUCUGCAUUGAGUCUGCAUCGUUGCUCUCUUUUCCUUAUGUCAUUUGGAUGAUGUUAUUGGUUGAAUGUAGCGCACCAGCUUCUUCUUGGUUUCGCUGUUGUUGCCGGCUUUAUCUGUGUGCGCGUGUGCGUGUUUUGCGCGCCAGAGUAUAUGAUCUCCAUCGCUGCCCUCGUCUCCCUGCUUUUUUUUCCGGUUCCGUUUCUUGUGCUCUUCUUCAUGUGAGCCAGAGGCGAGCGGCGACAGCUGCCCAGCGUAAUGGCGCCACCCUCUGUACAUAGGAAGGGCUCUUUGUUUUGUUAUGCAGGGCCGCGUCUCUCUCUCUCUCUCGCCCCCCCCCCCCUGGAGCGUGUGUGGGAUCGUGGUCUCUUCUUCGACUCCAUCAAGCGCUUUUCAGUUUGCGUCAUUGUUGUCGGUGUCAGCGAGAGAGCGCAGGCACACAUGGGGAGUCAGCGCGCCAGAAUGGAGAUUCCAUAGGCAUAGUUUCUCGUGUUCUGUGAAACCAGUUCAUCCGCAGCGCGCUCCCCUAGGGUAGCGAGACACUUUUCCGCCAGCCAAAGAAAACCUUAAAGGCGCUCCGGAAGGAUCAUGAGAAAAAAAACGGCGAAACGCGGAGAGCACAACCAUGAGCGAUGCGUGCAGGUAUGCGCCCUCACGCACGCAUCCAUUUCUCGAGAGCGAAAGCGAACAACAAGAACGCAAACAGCGCGACCUGUUUUCUUUGUGCAACACUUAUUUUGUAUCCCACCGCACGAAUGCGUGUGUGUAUGUGCGUGACUGUGUCUGCGUCGCUGAAGACUUUUGUGUAGUGCUCACACCCUCCAACUCGCCCCUCUCGCGCAUUGUGUGGACGGCGUCGCCGUUACCUUGCUCCGCGCCUUUCGCUUCCGCACCCUACGUCACUCCUCACUCGUUGUGCAUGCGCGCAUCGCGCCCAACACACGCGGUGCUCGUUGCGUUGUGGCUGUUAUUGACACGUUCUCUUUUUUCUGGUUUGCGUCUGUUGGGCCACCGCAUGUCUCUAAAGACUUCACUCACCGUUGUGUAUUUUGGGUUUUCUGUUUUUCUUUUCUUCUCCUUCGUUUUACGUGUUUCUGUGUACCGAAGGAUGCCUGUGCCGGUGUGCGUGUUGUAGUGAUGGGUGGAGAGUGUGCGGCGGAUCUCCCUCACCCUCUGUCGCCCUCCAAAUGACGGAUUCAGCGGGCGGAGAGCGCGCACGCACAUGAAGGACGCAAGAGCACGCAUCAAUUAGGGAAGGACGCACUGUGCCAACAGCGAGUAAGCAUGUGGCGCAGGCAUCUGCGUGCGCCCUCUUUCCUUCUUGCGAUGCACUGUGAACUAUGCAGUCAAUCACCGAUCUCGCUUGUUUACUUAGAUUGCGCUUGCCAUCUCGAUGACUAUGCUCCCUCGCUCACCCCAUCUUCUCUCUGAUUCAGGGUAUAUCUCUAUGGGCCGCCCGCGUUUUCCUCUCUGCCACCCUCGCUCCAUAACACGCUGCGUAUGAAGGGUGCAGUUUUGUGAUGGACUCUCGCGUUUGAUGCUGCUGGUACUUCCUCCCCCUUCGUGGGCGUGUUACUCACUUGUGCGUUUUCGUUUUUCCUUGUUUUUUUUUUCGUUUCCGUGGUCUUUCGAGGGUGCUUUCUUGAUACCCCUCGUCUGCUCUCUACACCCCCUUACAUUGUAGAAGUGGCGGCUCUCUUUUUUUUUUUUGCUUUUUUGAUUUACUUCGUCGUUCGUUGGCUUCAUUCUCCUGUCGACGUCUGCCUGCACACGCGAAUGCAUGCAUGCCCGCACCUCGCACUCGGGGCGGAGUACGGCUGAGGGAGCUGAGGCGACCUACUCCACAGAAGGAGAGCUUUCGUGUUGACAAAGUUAGAGGGAGUGGACGGACGAAAAAUGAGGGCGAGAUGGUCAUCAGCGCCGACACGCCCCCUCUCAUUACCUCCCUUCUUCUACCAUGGAUGUCGCUGUGUUUCUUUUUUUUUUCUGCCCUUUUUUCCUUUUGUCGGUGUACGUGCCGCUGUGUCUCGUUGAUGUCCUUGUGUGCACGAGUGGAGUACGUCAGUGUGUGUUCUCUCUCCUGUUUCUGUGUGCAUUUUUGUUUUUGGGCGCGUGCGCGUGUGCGUGCUUCGCCUUUAUUAUAUAGCUCUCUCCAUUUUUCGAUGAUGCUGUUGUUCCUCUCUGUGGCUCUUUUCCGCCUCACCUAUUCAUUGCUUGUUUUCCUCACGUCCUCUUCUUAUUGUUCUCUGUUCGCACUCGGUUGACUUGUCUGUCUCUGUGUCUGUGUGCACCGUCGGCGCGCGUCUUUCAUGCUCUCCUACACACACGCAUAUAUAUAUAUAUGCGUGUAUAUGCCAUGUAUGUACACGUGUACAUGCACACGUGCAUCCGCCGAUGCACGUAAUGUUUUCCCUCGUGAUGAUCAAGGACAAAGAGAUCACUGAAUUUUGGAAAGAAAC
RNAcentral lists this unclassified non-coding RNA (7970 nucleotides) under Leishmania donovani. RNAcentral's name for it is "gene:LdHU3.28.1550(CDS-product:Amastin_surface_gl ycoprotein_putative)". Lineage: Eukaryota; Euglenozoa; Kinetoplastea; Trypanosomatida; Trypanosomatidae. The record is from RNAcentral.